Molecule: non-coding RNA, 117 nt
Organism: Pan troglodytes (chimpanzee)
Lineage: Eukaryota; Metazoa; Chordata; Mammalia; Primates; Hominidae
Rfam family: Metazoan signal recognition particle RNA
About the family: The signal recognition particle (SRP) is a universally conserved ribonucleoprotein. It is involved in the co-translational targeting of proteins to membranes.
Source: Rfam
GCCGGGCGCGGUGGCUCACGCCUGUAAUCCCAGCACUUUGGGAGGCUGAGAUGGGUGGAUCACCUGAGGUCAGGAGUUGGAGACCAGCCUGGCCAACAUGGUGAAACCCCGUCUCUA